RNAcentral lists this ribosomal RNA (495 nucleotides) under uncultured bacterium. Its description in RNAcentral is "partial 16S ribosomal RNA". It matches the Rfam family "Bacterial small subunit ribosomal RNA", at positions 28 to 507 of the family's 1533-position model. The record is from RNAcentral.
GACGAACGCUGGCGGCGUGCCUAAUACAUGCAAGUAGAACGCUGAAGGAGGAGCUUGCUUCUCUGGAUGAGUUGCGAACGGGUGAGUAACGCGUAGGUAACCUGCCUGGUAGCGGGGGAUAACUAUUGGAAACGAUAGCUAAUACCGCAUAAUAGCAGUUAUUGCAUGAUAACUGUUUGAAAGGUGCAAUUGCACCACUACCAGAUGGACCUGCGUUGUAUUAGCUAGUUGGUGGGGUAACGGCUCACCAAGGCGACGAUACAUAGCCGACCUGAGAGGGGGAUCGGCCACACUGGGACUGAGACACGGCCCAGACUCCUACGGGAGGCAGCAGUAGGGAAUCUUCGGCAAUGGACGGAAGUCUGACCGAGCAACGCCGCGUGAGUGAAGAAGGUUGUCGGAUCGUAAAGCUCUGUUGUAAGAGAAGAACGAGUGUGAGAGUGGAAAGUUCACACUGUGACGGUAUCUUACCAGAAAGGGACGGCUAACUACGUG